RNAcentral lists this long non-coding RNA (2604 nucleotides) under Carica papaya (papaya). RNAcentral describes it as "long non-coding RNA (CPAP_LNC012702)". The record is from RNAcentral. Lineage: Eukaryota; Viridiplantae; Streptophyta; Magnoliopsida; Brassicales; Caricaceae.
UUUAAUUUUACUGGGAGGAGAUGUCACUGCACCCUGAGAAAGCAAUAUUGGUCAUUUGGUUCAUGGUUGAUUCUUCAAUAUUGCUUCAUUUAGCUAGUCUAGCUGGCAUAUCCAGCCCAUUUUUGAGCAGUAAAAAGUUACACACAUCCAAGGAUGAGAAUCUACAGUCUCUUCUUCCACCACACUUCACUUCUAGAUUAAAUGCCAUUUGACUAUAGAGACUUGUAUAUGCAACCUAACUCACUAUUUAGGAUGUGGAACAAAUUGAAAUAGUGUUAUUGGCUCCAUCCAACAUAUAGUAGGAAAAAUCAACAGUAUGAUACCUCUUUAUCUCAUCAAUUUCGAAUGUUCCGACUUUAGACAUCUUCCUUUUGUUUGAACCGGUGCCAAUGGAUGAAAAAUGACUUCUGAAUGCUAGCCAUCUUUUUCUUACAUGGCUUACUUUCUGAUAUUCAUAUUCUGAAAAAGAAUGUGAAUUGUCCUCUUCUCACAUUUAUCUUCUUGCAGGCUCUUCUUAAUGUUGCAACGGUUCCCUGUAGAAUCAAAAGGACGGCGUAAGAAACUGCAGGAGGUGAUCUUUUCAUUUAUUUUAUAUAUAUGGAUUGUGCUAUCUGUAAUCUAUUUUAUUUUCAAUUGUUUUAAUCUGCUUCUGGCUUGGCAGGUUGGUUAUGUGACUACCAUUUGCUUCUCAUGUUUCCUCAUCAGAUGCAUUAUGGUUAGUUUGUUAUGAUAUUCUUUACUGUCUAUAUCAACAUCUACGUUAAGUAUACUAAAAUAAGUUACCUGCAUUAAAAAGUGAACAAUAGAUGGUUAGAUCUUGGUAAAUUACUUUCAAAUGGAAACAUAGUAAUCAAUGAACCUACGACUUGUUUUGAAAUUUACUGUUUAAAGUUGAUAAAGUGAGUCUUUGCCUAGUGAAUUGCGGGCUCAAGGUUCCAUUUCUUCUUUAUCCUAUGUUCAUCUAAUUAAGAUUUAAUUGUUGUUUAUGCUCUAGAUGUGCUUUAAUGCAUUUGAUAAAGCUGCAAAUCUUGAUGUAUUGGACCAUCCAGUUCUGAACUUCAUAUAUUACCUGGUAAGUUCUCCUCGAUGGAUGUAUGAUAUUUCAUUGGAAAACAAAUCUCUUGUACAUUUUAAUUGUGAGAUAGUUGAAGGAUUAAGCCUAGUUUUUGAUUGUUGCCUUUUCUCCUAUUAACAAAUUUCCUUCUUAAAACUUACUGCUCUUCUGUUGAAAUAAAGUCAAUAAUUUCUUAAUAAUGAAGGUUUCUUUUUACACAUGGAAAAUCUAGUUGAGUCAAAACUUCUACGCGAAUUGUGGGUAACAAUGUGAAUGACAAUCUGGGUCUUGUUUGGACGCUCAGUUAAAGUGCCGUGUGUGUGACAAAACACUGCUGGUGGCCUAUGAUUGGGCGUUUUAUAGAGAGUAUCAAACUAAGAUCUUCCUGUUAUUAGCCAUGUGAUGGCAAUUGCAGCAUAGAAUGUCAAAAAUCUAAUUUUUUAACCAAUACACCGAUGACCAUACCAUACAUGUUAGCCAUACUAAUCUUCAAACACGUUCUGAGAAUAUUUUUGUUUGCUCCAGCUUUUGGAAGUGGCAGCUUUGAUGUGUCAAUUGAUUAAAUUUGUGGCAUUAGUCAUAACCUACCAUUUUUUCUCGUGGAACUCUAAAAUUGUUCAUGACUCCUGUUUUAAAGCCUUCUUAGAUUCAGAAGGCUAAGAAUAUCAAUUUCUUUUAUUGUCUUGUUUAUAUUUUUCCCUCUUAUGACAAGCUUUUUCCUCUCCUUGCAGUUGGUUGAGAUAUUGCCCUCUUCUUUGGUCCUCUUCAUUUUGAGGAAGCUGCCACCAAAACGAGGUAUCACACAAUAUCAUCCCAUACGCUGAUCCAAGCUAUAUACAGCAAAUGCAGUGAAAACAAAUGAUGCUUUCACUUGAAGCAUGUUCAUCUACCCGUAAGGGAGAACAAACACAAUGGGGAGAUAUAAGUUGACCAUUUUGUGUUUGCAGUCAGGCAUGGAUUCUGAAUUGUCAAAAUUUCUGUAAUUGGUGUUUGUAGAUUUGUUGGAAAAUACAUCAACCUAUUACAUCUAUUGUUGUUUGUAUGUGUUGCGGUUUUUGCAUUUAGCGUUUCCUUAUGGUUCUGCAUUAGAAAAUGACUCUUCUUUUGAAGGAAAAAUAAUUGUUGUAUGGUUAGGAAAAGAAAGUAGAGAUCAUACACUUUCGGCUAAAUAUCAUCUAAUUAUUUGUUUAUACGAGCAAGGCAUGAUGCUUCUUGAUGGGAAAUUUGUAUUAGAAUACAGAGGAAUUUCUACUGAUACCAUAACAUGGUAAGUGUCAUGCAUUUAUAAUUUUGGAAUCUUGAUAAAUCAAAUAUUGUGUAGAGAUUUCAAGCAAAUUUGAAGAAUACAAUCUAGGAUUUCAGUUGCCUUACCUGGUAUCAUGGGACUUACCUGGGUACGGUUUGUUGAGCAAGAACUUGGCUAAAAUAUCCAUCCUUUGGGAUCUGGCAAACUGAAUGAGCAGCUGAAUUUUUCACAAUGAUUGAGUGAGGAGAUCUUCUGGAGCUUUCUUCUGUUGUAUCUUCUUUUUGGGGGUAGUCUUUUGUUGUUU